This is a long non-coding RNA of Ailuropoda melanoleuca (giant panda), 897 nucleotides long. RefSeq lists it as uncharacterized. NCBI's taxonomy places the organism in Eukaryota, Metazoa, Chordata, Mammalia, Carnivora, Ursidae. The transcript has 3 exons. The record is from RefSeq and is a predicted model, not a curated record.
UUCACAGCAAGGAACAUGGAGCUCAGUGGCUCUGCUUACUAGUUUUCUGGCCUUGGGUCAAUUCCUUGACCGCUGGGUGCCUAUCGCUUAGCGCCGAUCUGAGGAUCCGAUAAAUCAAUUCAAGCAAAGCAUUCAAAAGAGCGCUUGGUGCAUAGUAAGCAGCACGUGAGUGUUAGUUCUUACUAUUGAAGGCUUUCUGCCAGGUGGUGUCUUGAUGAAGCAGCCAGACCUUUUGUUGUGCACCUACUGUGUGUCAGGUGUUUCCCGGGUUCCUGACGGACUCAAGAGAGAAAACACAGACUUCGUAGGGCUUAGCUUUUAGAAGCCUUUGAUUGACUCACUUCCCUGGGGGAAUCCUUAUUUUUCUAAAAGUAGAGAAAGGAGGGCUGUGCUCGAUGUGGAGAACAAGAGAUCAUUCCAGUGGCAAAACAGAUGUGGCUUCCAUCUACGCCCCAACUGAGAGGUGGAGCGAGUGGAGCCCAUGCUGGAGGCCUGUGCUGUGGGCAAGAAGCAGGCCAUCUGAUAUGCACCUGCCUCAUGGCACGAGCCCCGGAAAGAGAAACUGGUGAUGGAAGGCCUCCUCUCUCAUCUGUUUUCCAACUGCCCAGGAGCUUCUAUGUUAGACAUUAGCAUCUCAAAUCUGCAGUGAGCCUCCUCAGACAUCUCUGUGCACAUGUGAGAGCUUCUCUGAGACACGCACAGGUGAAUUGCUGUAUCAUAGAAUAUAUAUUUUCAAUUUUACUAAAUACUGUCAAACUGCUCUCCAAAGUACCUUUACGAAACACACACACGUGCGCACGGCACACACACACACACAACAACAACAAAAACAACAAAGUGCCUUUACCUAGCAGCUUCAGAGAGUUCUUAUUUCUCCCUUGGGGUCAAUGCACUGGA